UGGGAACGCUGAGCAGCCACCAGGAGU
Molecule: non-coding RNA, 27 nt
Filed under: Homo sapiens (human)
Lineage: Eukaryota; Metazoa; Chordata; Mammalia; Primates; Hominidae
Source: RNAcentral